ACACAGACUUAUUCAACCUUCAUCUGAACCAUGAGGGGCAAACAGAGAAACCUUCACAUUUUGACCCUUGCUGCUCGUAUCAGAUUAGCUGGGUCUAGUUACACUGCGUGCUCUGGAAGAGUUGAAAUCCUUUACAACAACACCGGGGGAACAGUCUGUGAUGAUGACUGGGACCUGAAUGGUGUUGCGGUGGUUUGCAGACAGUUGGGCUGUGGUACAGCACUGAAGGCCACAGUACAGGCCCAUUUGGGACACAUGACUGUGGACAUGGUGAGGAUGCUGGUGUGAUCUGUUCAGGUGUCAGAUUAGCUGGGUCCACUCGAUGCUCUGGAAGAGUUGAAAUCCUUCACAGCAACACCUGGGGCACAGUCUGUGAUGAUAACUGGGACCUAA
Molecule: long non-coding RNA, 393 nt
Organism: Monopterus albus (swamp eel)
Lineage: Eukaryota; Metazoa; Chordata; Actinopteri; Synbranchiformes; Synbranchidae
Exons: 3
Source: RefSeq, a predicted model, not a curated record